Homarus americanus (American lobster) is the source of this 509-nucleotide RNA transcript. It is a transcript of the gene named actin-related protein 2/3 complex subunit 1A-like, with no coding region annotated. The transcript is spliced from 4 exons. The record is from RefSeq and is a predicted model, not a curated record. NCBI's taxonomy places the organism in Eukaryota, Metazoa, Arthropoda, Malacostraca, Decapoda, Nephropidae.
GUAAGCUUCGAGGAGGAAAACGUAAUUAUGUCUUGUGAAUCCGCGCUAGAACGAAUAUGGGGGGGGGAGAGACGCCAUGGCGUUGUUUACAUCCCGGGGCCCAGUAGCAGGUCCCAGCCUCUUCCUUCUCGGGUGAUUUCUAGAGUAAAUAAUUGAGAGAAGACUACAAGUGUGUCCCAUCCCUGAAUUGGGAGUUCCCUGCUUUGUGCUUUAAGUCAGGCCAACAGGUUGAGACACAAGCUGUUUUGGUCAGGACUUGAGGAUGUUGACCAGAGUCCGCUAAUAUCCUUCAAUAUUUAGUGUUACAGACACCUGCUCCAAGUGAUACGCCAUGACAGAAGUGUUCCGGUUCGGCCUCGUGCCCAUCGCUUGUCGUGCCCGGAAUGAGGACCGCAGCCGUGAGUACCGACCUAUAUGAAGUUAAAUAGCACUUGCCUGGCAGAAGUGGCAUUGAGUCUCAACAACAAUGAAGUGAAUAUAUAUGGCAGAGCUGCAUCAGAGUGGAAGCU